AGCGAUCUUGUUAGCAUAAUGAGAGAGCGGCGGAAGGGUGAGUAACACGUAGGAGACCUACCUCAUCGCAGGGAACAACUUCGCGAAAGCGGAGCUAAUACCCAAAAGGCUCACAGAUUCAUUUUUGUGAGGAGAGUACGAAAGUGCGUGAUGAGAGGGUCCUGCGGCCCAUCAGCUAGUUGGUAGGGUAACGGCCUACCAAGGCAACGACGGGUAGGGGGUCUGAGAGGACGAUCCCCCACACUGGAACUGAAACACGGUCCAGACGCCUACGGGUGGCAGCAGGGAGGAAUAUUGGGCAAUGGACGAAAGUCUGACCCAGCAACGCCGCGUGAAGGAUGAAGGCCUUCGGGUCGUAAACUUCUUUUAGGGGAGACGAGAAAGGACGGUAUCCCCUGAAUAAGCCACGGCUAACUACGUGCCAGCAGCCGCGGUAAAACGUAGGUGGCGAGCGUUAUCCGGAUUCAUUGGGCGUAAAGAGCUUGUAGGUGGUGCGAUAAGUUGGACGUGAAAACUCCGGGCUUAACUUGGAGAGGCCGUUCAAUACUGUUGUGCUAGAGGGCGUCAGAGGGAAGUGGAAUUCCUGGUGUAGCAGUGAAAUGCGUAGAUAUCAGGAGGAACACCCGUGGCGAANGCGGCUUCCUGGGACGUACCUGACACUG
This 662-nucleotide ribosomal RNA is filed under the name uncultured bacterium. RNAcentral's name for it is "bacterial SSU rRNA". It matches the Rfam family "Bacterial small subunit ribosomal RNA", at positions 65 to 748 of the family's 1533-position model. The record is from RNAcentral.